GACGUAGGGCGCGAGCGUUGUCCGGGUUUAUUGGGCGUAAAGAGCUCGUAGGCGGUUCGUCGCGUCGGCUGUGAAAUCCCGAGGCUCAACCUCGGGUCUGCAGUCGAUACGGGCGGACUGGAGUACUGCAGGGGAGACUGGAAUUCCUGGUGUAGCGGUGAAAUGCGCAGAUAUCAGGAGGAACACCGGUGGCGAAGGCGGGUCUCUGGGCAGUUACUGACGCUGAGGAGCGAAAGCGUGGGGAGCGAACAGG
RNAcentral lists this ribosomal RNA (253 nucleotides) under uncultured bacterium. RNAcentral's name for it is "partial 16S ribosomal RNA". It matches the Rfam family "Bacterial small subunit ribosomal RNA", at positions 524 to 776 of the family's 1533-position model. The record is from RNAcentral.